GAUGAACGCUGGCGGCGUGCCUAAUACAUGCAAGUCGAGCGAACAGACGAGGAGCUUGCUCCUCUGACGUUAGCGGCGGACGGGUGAGUAACACGUGGAUAGCCUACCUAUAAGACUGGGAUAACUUCGGGAAACCGGAGCUAAUACCGGAUAAUAUAUUGAACCGCAUGGUUCAAUAGUGAAAGACGGUUUUGCUGUCACUUAUAGAUGGAUCCGCGCCGCAUUAGCUAGUUGGUAAGGUAACGGCUUACCAAGGCUACGAUGCGUAGCCGACCUGAGAGGGUGAUCGGCCACACUGGAACUGAGACACGGUCCAGACUCCUACGGGAGGCAGCAGUAGGGAAUCUUCCGCAAUGGGCGAAAGCCUGACGGAGCAACGCCGCGUGAGUGAUGAAGGUCUUCGGAUCGUAAAACUCUGUUAUUAGGGAAGAACAAAUGUGUAAGUAACUAUGCACGUCUUGACGGUACCUAAUCAGAAAGCCACGGCUAACUACGUG
Molecule: ribosomal RNA, 497 nt
Filed under: uncultured bacterium
Lineage: Bacteria
Description: partial 16S ribosomal RNA
Rfam family: Bacterial small subunit ribosomal RNA
Source: RNAcentral